This 345-nucleotide ribosomal RNA is filed under the name Cherax monticola. RNAcentral describes it as "partial 12S ribosomal RNA". The record is from RNAcentral. Lineage: Eukaryota; Metazoa; Arthropoda; Malacostraca; Decapoda; Parastacidae.
ACUUGAAUAUUAGUAGUUAUGGUCUUUAAAUUCAAAGAAUUUGGCGGUAUUUUAGUCUUGUUAGAGGAACCUGUUCUGUAAAUGAUACAACACGAAGAAUCUUACUUACUCUUGUUUAACAGUUUGUAUACCGUCAUUAUUAGAUAACCUUUGUUGGGGAAGUUAUUGAAAUUUAAGAAGUUGGAGUAUAUUAGAUCAAGGUGCAGUUUAUGGGUAAGAAGUAAUGGGUUACAAUAAAAUUUAUUUAUACGGAUCAGCGAUUGAAUAGUUUCUGUAAAGGAGGAUUUAAUUGUAACAUAUAAUUUAAUAAGUUAGUGUGAUAUGAGAACUAAAAUAUGUACAUAU